RNAcentral lists this non-coding RNA (87 nucleotides) under Pseudomonas thivervalensis. Lineage: Bacteria; Pseudomonadati; Pseudomonadota; Gammaproteobacteria; Pseudomonadales; Pseudomonadaceae. The record is from RNAcentral.
UUCGAUGGUAGCUGUGCGCAGGGCGCCCUCGGGUGCGCCGGUUUCUUGGAUCCCCGGUCUACUAACCUGCGUACAGCUGCCACCCAU